RNAcentral lists this ribosomal RNA (497 nucleotides) under uncultured bacterium. Its description in RNAcentral is "partial 16S ribosomal RNA". It matches the Rfam family "Bacterial small subunit ribosomal RNA", at positions 28 to 507 of the family's 1533-position model. The record is from RNAcentral.
GAUGAACGCUGGCGGCGUGCCUAAUACAUGCAAGUAGAACGCUGAAGCUUGGUGCUUGCACCGAGCGGAUGAGUUGCGAACGGGUGAGUAACGCGUAGGUAACCUGCCUCUUAGCGGGGGAUAACUAUUGGAAACGAUAGCUAAUACCGCAUAAAAGUCGACAUCGCAUGAUGUUGACUUGAAAGGUGCAAUUGCAUCACUAAGAGAUGGACCUGCGUUGUAUUAGCUAGUUGGUGAGGUAACGGCUCACCAAGGCGACGAUACAUAGCCGACCUGAGAGGGUGAUCGGCCACACUGGGACUGAGACACGGCCCAGACUCCUACGGGAGGCAGCAGUAGGGAAUCUUCGGCAAUGGGGGCAACCCUGACCGAGCAACGCCGCGUGAGUGAAGAAGGUUGUCGGAUCGUAAAGCUCUGUUGUAAGAGAAGAACGAGUGUGAGAGUGGAAAGUUCACACUGUGACGGUAACUUACCAGAAAGGGACGGCUAACUACGUG